CGCUGGCGGAAUGCUUUACACAUGCAAGUCGAGCGGCAGCGCGGGGGCAACCCUGGCGGCGAGCGGCGAACGGGUGAGUAAUGUAUCGGAACGUACCCAGUCGUGGGGGAUAACUAUCCGAAAGGAUAGCUAAUACCGCAUACGUCCUGAGGGAGAAAGCGGGGGACCGAAAGGCCUCGCGCGAUUGGAGCGGCCGAUAUCGGAUUAGCUAGUUGGUGAGGUAAAGGCUCACCAAGGCGACGAUCCGUAGCUGGUCUGAGAGGACGACCAGCCACACUGGAACUGAGACACGGUCCAGACUCCUACGGGAGGCAGCAGUGGGGAAUUUUGGACAAUGGGGGCAACCCUGAUCCAGCCAUUCCGCGUGAGUGAAGAAGACCAUNGGGUUGUAAAGCUCUUUCAGCAGGAACGAAACGGUGGUCCUUAAUACGGGCUGCUAAUGACGGUACCUGAAGAAGAAGCACCGGCUAACUACGUGCCAGCAGCCGCGGUAAUACGUAGGGUGCGAGCGUUAAUCGGAAUUACUGGGCGUAAAGCGUGCGCAGGCGGUUCUAUAAGACAGAUGUGAAAUCCCCGGGCUUAACCUGGGAACUGCGUUUGUGACUGUAGGACUCGAGUGUGGCAGAGGGGGGUGGAAUUCCACGUGUAGCAGUGAAAUGCGUAGAGAUGUGGAGGAACACCGAUGGCGAAGGCAGCCCCCUGGGUCAACACUGACGCUCAUGCACGAAAGCGUGGGGAGCAAACAGGAUUAGAUA
RNAcentral lists this ribosomal RNA (755 nucleotides) under uncultured bacterium. Its description in RNAcentral is "bacterial SSU rRNA". It matches the Rfam family "Bacterial small subunit ribosomal RNA", at positions 34 to 784 of the family's 1533-position model. The record is from RNAcentral.